This 77-nucleotide transfer RNA is filed under the name Mesorhizobium sp. M7D.F.Ca.US.005.01.1.1. Its description in RNAcentral is "tRNA-Leu". It matches the Rfam family "tRNA". From Rfam's summary of the family: Transfer RNA (tRNA) molecules are approximately 80 nucleotides in length. The record is from RNAcentral. Lineage: Bacteria; Pseudomonadati; Pseudomonadota; Alphaproteobacteria; Hyphomicrobiales; Phyllobacteriaceae. RNAcentral also lists the same sequence under 3 other names.
CCACGGAUAGCUCAGUUGGGUAGAGCAUCAGAUCGAGAAUCUGACUGUCGAAGGUUCAAAUCCUUCUCCAUUGGCCU